UUCAUGUCAAAUGUAUAA
Molecule: small nuclear RNA, 18 nt
Filed under: Arabidopsis thaliana (thale cress)
Lineage: Eukaryota; Viridiplantae; Streptophyta; Magnoliopsida; Brassicales; Brassicaceae
Description: snRNA_17990
Source: RNAcentral